RNAcentral lists this ribosomal RNA (301 nucleotides) under uncultured bacterium. Its description in RNAcentral is "partial 16S ribosomal RNA". It matches the Rfam family "Bacterial small subunit ribosomal RNA", at positions 509 to 808 of the family's 1533-position model. The record is from RNAcentral.
CAGUCGCCGCGGGAAUACGUAGGUCCCGAGCGUUGUCCGGAUUUAUUGGGCGUAAAGGGAGCGCAGGCGGUUUAGUAAGUCUGAAGUUAAAGGCAUUGGCUCAACCAAUGUAUGCUUUGGAAACUGUUAGACUUGAGCGCAGAAGGGGAGAGUGGAAUUCUCGGAGUAGCGGUAAAAUGCGUAGAUCUCGAGAGGAACACCAAUGGCGAAGGCAGCUUCUUGGUCCAUUCCUGACGUUCAUACACGAAAGCGUGGGGAGCAAACAGGAUUAGAUACCCCCGUAGUCCCUGUCUCUUAUACC